RNAcentral lists this ribosomal RNA (253 nucleotides) under uncultured bacterium. Its description in RNAcentral is "partial 16S ribosomal RNA". It matches the Rfam family "Bacterial small subunit ribosomal RNA", at positions 524 to 776 of the family's 1533-position model. The record is from RNAcentral.
UACGGGGGGGGUAAGCGUUGUUCGGAAUUACUGGGCGUAAAGGGCUCGUAGGCGGCCAACUAAGUCAGACGUGAAAUCCCUCAGCUUAACUGGGGAACUGCGUCUGAUACUGGAUGGCUUGGAUCCGGAAGAGGGAUGCGGAAUUCCAGGUGUAGCGGUGAAAUGCGUAGAGAUCCGGAGGAACCCCAGAGGCGAAGGCGGCGCUCUGGCUCGCAACUGACGCUCAGACACGACAGCAUGGGGAGCGAACGGG